Molecule: ribosomal RNA, 375 nt
Filed under: uncultured organism
Description: partial 16S ribosomal RNA
Rfam family: Bacterial small subunit ribosomal RNA
Source: RNAcentral
GGAGGGGGGGCUAGCGUUGUUCAGAAUUACUGGGCGUAAAGGGCGCGUAGGGCGGCCUGUCAAGUCAGGGCGUGAAAGGGCCCGGGCUCAACCCGGGAACUGCCCUUGAAACUGGCAAGCUAGAGUCCGAGAGAGGAUGGCGGAAUUCCCAGUGUAGAGGUGAAAUUCGUAGAUAUUGGGAAGAACACCGGUGGCGAAGGCGGCCAUCUGGCUCGGUACUGACGCUGAGGCGCGAAAGCGUGGGGAGCAAACAGGAUUAGAUACCCUGGUAGUCCACGCCGUAAACGAUGUGUGCUAGACGUUGGAGGUCUUAGGCCUUCGGUGUCGCAGCUAACGCGUUAAGCACACCGCCUGGGGAGUACGGCCGCAAGGUUA